GUCAGGAUGGCUGAGCAGUCUAAGGUACUGUGUUCAGGUUGCAGUCUCCCUUGGAGGCGUGGGUUCGAAUCCCACUUCUGACA
This is a non-coding RNA of Rattus norvegicus (Norway rat), 83 nucleotides long. The record is from Rfam. NCBI's taxonomy places the organism in Eukaryota, Metazoa, Chordata, Mammalia, Rodentia, Muridae.